This is a long non-coding RNA of Gasterosteus aculeatus aculeatus (three-spined stickleback), 647 nucleotides long. The record is from Ensembl. NCBI's taxonomy places the organism in Eukaryota, Metazoa, Chordata, Actinopteri, Perciformes, Gasterosteidae.
ACGUUGAGUCCUCAUGACGUCACGUUGAGUCCCCAUGACGUCACGUUGAGUCCUGUCAACGUCACGUUGAGUCCCAAGUAUGAGAUUUAGACUCGAGGGACGGCAUGAAUUUAUUGGAAGAUAAUAAUAAGUUAUCUUAUGCUGCUGCUUACCUUCCGCUGUCCCACUCAGCAGCUCUCCAAAGACAUCCAGAUGUUUUAAAAAGUAAAAACAAAGAAUAAAAAAAACACAGAACAGUGUCCCUUCCUCGUCCUCUUCCUCAGACCAGGGUUGUCCUCUUCUCUCUCUCCCGGCUCAGGUCCGGCGUCGGCGGCUCGCCUCGGCCGGCUUCAUUGCGGGUGGAGGCGGCGGGGGAGUUUUGCAUGACCACCAAGUGGAUGGGCGACUGGCCGGCUGCCGGAGGAGGAGGGGGAGGCGCUGCAGCGGCAGGAGAGGUGUCCGGCGCGUACUCCUUGGUGGGGUCUUUGCCCCGGCAGUCGUACAGGAUGCAGGAGAUGAGGAACACCAGGAGCAGGAUGACAUAGCUGGCCACCAGGAUGAUGAGGUUCAAGGUGACCGGGUCAAUCUCCAGGACACUCACCGCUGCCUCCUGUUCAAGAGUUCAAACGUCAGCAACCAAAACCCAAGAGGAACCAAGAGGAACCAAG